RNAcentral lists this ribosomal RNA (380 nucleotides) under uncultured eukaryote. RNAcentral describes it as "partial 18S ribosomal RNA". It matches the Rfam family "Eukaryotic small subunit ribosomal RNA", at positions 592 to 976 of the family's 1831-position model. The record is from RNAcentral.
CAAUAGCGUAUAUUAAAGUUGUUGCAGUUAAAAAGCUCGUAGUUGGAUUUGUGGCGUACGGUGUGUUCCGGGCACUUGUUGUCUGAGUAACCUGCUGUUGCCAUCCUUGGGCGGAACCUGUGUGGCAUUAGGUUGUCGUGCAGGGGAUGCCCAUCAUUUACUGUGAAAAAAUUAGAGUGUUCAAAGCAGGCUUAUGCCGUUGAAUAUAUUAGCAUGGAAUAAUGAGAUAGGACUUUUUUGCUAUUUUGUUGGUUUGCGCAAGAAGGUAAUGAUUAAUAGGGACAGUUGGGGGUAUUCGUAUUCCAUUGUCAGAGGUGAAAUUCUUGGAUUUUUGGAAGACGAACUACUGCGAAAGCAUUUACCAAGGAUGUUUUCAUUAA